CCUACGGGGGGCAGCAGUGGGGAAUAUUGGACAAUGGGGGCAACCCUGAUCCAGCCAUGCCGCGUGUGUGAAGAAGGCCCUCGGGUUGUAAAGCACUUUCAGUGAGGAAGAACGCCUGGUGGUUAAUACCCAUCAGGAAAGACAUCACUCACAGAAGAAGCACCGGCUAACUCCGUGCCAGCAGUCGCGGUAAUACGGAGGGUGCGAGCGUUAAUCGGAAUUACUGGGCGUAAAGCGCGCGUAGGUGGCUUGAUAAGCCGGUUGUGAAAGCCCCGGGCUCAACCUGGGAACGGCAUCCGGAACUGUCAAGCUAGAGUGCAGGAGAGGAAGGUAGAAUUCCCGGUGUAGCGGUGAAAUGCGUAGAGAUCGGGAGGAAUACCAGUGGCGAAGGCGGCCUUCUGGACUGACACUGACACUGAGGUGCGAAAGCGUGGGUAGCAAACAGGAUUAGAUACCCUUGUAGUC
Molecule: ribosomal RNA, 465 nt
Filed under: Vreelandella stevensii
Lineage: Bacteria; Pseudomonadati; Pseudomonadota; Gammaproteobacteria; Oceanospirillales; Halomonadaceae
Description: partial 16S ribosomal RNA
Rfam family: Bacterial small subunit ribosomal RNA
Source: RNAcentral